AUUGAACGCUGGCGGCAUGCCUUACACAUGCAAGUCGAACGGCAGCACGGGGGCAACCCUGGUGGCGAGUGGCGAACGGGUGAGUAACACAUCGGAACGUACCCAGUUGUGGGGGAUAACCAGUCGAAAGACUGGCUAAUACCGCAUGAUCUGGCGACAGCAAAGCGGGGGAUCGCAAGACCUCGCGCGAUUGGAGCGGCCGAUGUCCGAUUAGCUAGUUGGGGGGUAAAGGCCACCAAGGCUUUGAUCGGUAGCUGGUCUGAGAGGAUGAUCAGCCACACUGGGACUGAGACACGGCCCAGACUCCUACGGGAGGCAGCAGUGGGGAAUUUUGGACAAUGGGGGCAACCCUGAUCCAGCCAUGCCGCGUGAGUGAAGAAGGCCUGGUU
Molecule: ribosomal RNA, 389 nt
Filed under: uncultured bacterium
Lineage: Bacteria
Description: bacterial SSU rRNA
Rfam family: Bacterial small subunit ribosomal RNA
Source: RNAcentral